AGUAAAAGUCGUAACAAGGUUUCCGUAGGUGAACCUGCGGAAGGAUCAUUACAGAGUUCAUGCCCUCACGGGUAGACCUCCCACCCUUGUGUAUUUAUACAUUGUUGCUUUGGCGAAUAGCGCGAGUCACUCGCACCUCAGCCUUCGGGCUGUGAGGUUUCCUUAUUCGCCAGAGGAUACCAAACUCAUAUUAAUUAGUGUCGUCUGAGUACUAUAUCAAUAGUUAAAACUUUCAACAACGGAUCUCUUGGUUCUGGCAUCGAUGAAGAACGCAGCGAAAUGCGAUAAGUAAUGUGAAUUGCAGAAUUCAGUGAAUCAUCGAAUCUUUGAACGCACAUUGCGCCCAUUAGUAUUCUAGUGGGCAUGCCUAUUCGAGCGUCAUUACAACCCUUAAGCCUUGUAGCUUAGCGUUGGGAAUCUACCCCUCACUGAGGGGUAGUUCCUUAAAUUUAGUGGCGGGGUUAUAGCACACUCUAAGCGUAGUAGUUUAACUCGCUUUCAGGGAGGCUGUAGCUGCUUGCCGUAAAACCCCCUAUAACUUAUAGUGGUUGACCUCGGAUUAGGUAGGAAUACCCGCUGAACUUAAGCAUAUCAAUAAGCGGAGGA
This 606-nucleotide ribosomal RNA is filed under the name uncultured fungus. RNAcentral describes it as "eukaryotic LSU rRNA". The stretch from base 228 to 381 matches the Rfam family "5.8S ribosomal RNA". The record is from RNAcentral. Lineage: Eukaryota; Fungi.